RNAcentral lists this ribosomal RNA (514 nucleotides) under uncultured bacterium. RNAcentral's name for it is "bacterial SSU rRNA". It matches the Rfam family "Bacterial small subunit ribosomal RNA", at positions 32 to 518 of the family's 1533-position model. The record is from RNAcentral.
AACGCUGGCGGCGUGCCUAAUACAUGCAAGUCGAACGGUCUUUCUAUGGAAGCUUGCUUCCACUGAGAAGAUAGUGGCGAACGGGUGAGUAACACGUGGGUAACCUGCCCAUAAGAGGGGGGAUAACAUCCGGAAACGGGUGCUAAUACCGCAUAGUUUUCUUGAUUGCAUGAUUGAGAAAGGAAAGACGGCCUUUGUGCUGUCGCUUAUGGAUGGACCCGCGGCGUAUUAGUUAGUUGGUGAGGUAACGGCUCACCAAGACGAUGAUACGUAGCCGACCUGAGAGGGUGAUCGGCCACAUUGGGACUGAGACACGGCCCAAACUCCUACGGGAGGCAGCAGUAGGGAAUCUUCCGCAAUGGACGAAAGUCUGACGGAGCAACGCCGCGUGAGUGAAAGAAGGUUUUCGGAUCGUAAAACUCUGUUGUCAGAGAAGAACAAGUUGGAGAGUAACUGCUCCAGCCUUGACGGUAUCUGACCAGAAAGCCACGGCUAACUACGUGCCAGCCGCCGC